CAAUAGCGUAUAUUAAAGUUGUUGCAGUUAAAAAGCUCGUAGUUGGAUUUCGGGGCAGCCUGGCUGGUCCGCCGCAAGGCGAGUACUGGUCAGCCGCCCUUCCUCUCGAAAGCCCCGACUGCUCUUUAUUGCAGUGGUCGGGUAGUUCGGGACGUUUACUUUGAAAAAAUUAGAGUGUUCAAGGCAGGCCUACGCCUGAAUACAUUAGCAUGGAAUAAUGGAAGAGGACCUCGGUCCUAUUUUGUUGGUUUCCAGGACCGAAGUAAUGAUUAAGAGGGACAGUUGGGGGCAUUCGUAUCUAAUUGUCAGAGGUGAAAUUCUCGGAUUUAUGAAAGACGAACAACUGCGAAAGCAUUUGCCAAGGAUGUUUUCAUUAA
Molecule: ribosomal RNA, 377 nt
Filed under: uncultured eukaryote
Lineage: Eukaryota
Description: partial 18S ribosomal RNA
Rfam family: Eukaryotic small subunit ribosomal RNA
Source: RNAcentral